Molecule: non-coding RNA, 619 nt
Filed under: Pongo abelii (Sumatran orangutan)
Lineage: Eukaryota; Metazoa; Chordata; Mammalia; Primates; Hominidae
Source: RNAcentral
UUGGAUUUCCUUUGGCAGGGUUCCCUUGUAUGGAAGUUCUCGGGAGAACAACACUCUCAGAGUCCCAUUGUCUCAAAGAAUUCUUAAUGGACAGAUAUUUUUAAAGAAGUCAGGGUUAUCCACAGCUAUGUACAUAUAAUACCAAAUCAGAUCAUUUAUUCUGUACCUGAGGCAAAAAAGCUUCUGAUUCCUGAAUGGAUUUCUUCACCGGUUCUUCUGGGGGAUGAGAGAAACCAUUUACAAAGCUGAAGGAGAGGUAAGUCCACCCCUACACUGGCUGAGUUUCUUUGUAUAACAACUGUUCUCCCUUCCUAUUUUCUUCAAUUAUCUCUUCUUUCCCCAGCUAUACUUGGCCCCAAGGUUCCAACCUCACAUUGAAGAAAGUGACAUAAGAAAACACAAGUCCCAGCGCUAUCAGGGGCUAUCUGGAAAAGCUGCUUAAACGGCAAGUGAAAGAAGGCUCUCCCCUACCCCGUUCUAGACUCACCCUGAAGUUAUUUGAAGGAUCCUUGAAACUCUUUUGGAUUGCUGCUUGGAGAACAUUCCUGUAACUUGUUCCUGCUCCUUGAACUAUAAAAGCAGAAGGGAAUUACUGAGUUAAAACUUAUAAAUUAUUAUC